RNAcentral lists this ribosomal RNA (478 nucleotides) under uncultured bacterium. Its description in RNAcentral is "partial 16S ribosomal RNA". It matches the Rfam family "Bacterial small subunit ribosomal RNA", at positions 28 to 523 of the family's 1533-position model. The record is from RNAcentral.
GACGGACGCUGGCGGCGUGCUUAACACAUGCAAGUCGAACGGUAAGGCCCUUCGGGGUACACGAGUGGCGAACGGGUGAGUAACACGUGGGUGAUCUGCCCUGCACUUCGGGAUAAGCCUGGGAAACUGGGUCUAAUACCGGAUAGGACUCCUGGCUUCAUGGUUGGGGGUGGAAAGCUUUUGUGGUGUGGGAUGGGCCCGCGGCCUAUCAGCUUGUUGGUGGGGGAAUGGCCGACCAAGGCGGUGACGGGUAGCCGGCCUGAGGGGGUGGCCGGUCACACUGGGACUGAGAUACGGCCCAGACUCCGACGGGAGGCAGCAGUGGGGAAUAUUGCACAAUGGGCGCAAGCCUGAUGCAGCGACGCCGCGUGAGGGAUGACGGCCUUCGGGUUGUAAACCUCUUUCAGCACCGACGAAGCGCAAGUGACGGUAGGUGCAGAAGAAGGACCGGCCAACUACGUGACAGCCGCCGCGGUAA